This 578-nucleotide ribosomal RNA is filed under the name uncultured bacterium. RNAcentral describes it as "bacterial SSU rRNA". It matches the Rfam family "Bacterial small subunit ribosomal RNA", at positions 338 to 916 of the family's 1533-position model. The record is from RNAcentral.
CCUACGGGAGGCAGCAGUGAGGAAUAUUGGUCAAUGGACGAGAGUCUGAACCAGCCAAGUCGCGUGAAGGAAGAAGGUUCUAUGGAUUGUAAACUUCUUUUAUAAGGGAAUAAAAAAGAGUACGUGUACUCUAUUGUAUGUACUUUAUGAAUAAGGAUCGGCUAACUCCGUGCCAGCAGCCGCGGUAAUACGGAGGAUCCAAGCGUUAUCCAGAUUUAUUGGGUUUAAAGGGUGCGUAGGCGGACCUGAAAGUCAGUGGUGAAAGUUUGCAGCUCAACUGUAAAAUUGCCAUUGAAACUCUGGGUCUUGAGUGUAAAUGAGGUAGGCGGAAUGUGUUGUGUAGCGGUGAAAUGCUUAGAUAUAACACAGAACACCAAUUGCGAAGGCAGCUUACUAAGAUACAACUGACGCUGAGGCACGAAAGCGUGGGGAUCAAACAGGAUUAGAUACCCUGGUAGUCCACGCAGUAAACGAUGAAUACUAGCUGUAUGCGAUAUACUGUAUGUGGCAAAGCGAAAGCGUUAAGUAUUCCACCUGGGGAGUACGUUCGCAAGAAUGAAACUCAAAGGAAUUGACGG